RNAcentral lists this long non-coding RNA (439 nucleotides) under Apteryx rowi (Okarito brown kiwi). RNAcentral's name for it is "lncRNA (ENSARWG00000008473.1)". Lineage: Eukaryota; Metazoa; Chordata; Aves; Apterygiformes; Apterygidae. The record is from RNAcentral.
CUUCGGUACACGCUGCGUCUGCCUCGGCGAGGGCAGGACUGCAAAGCGCCGGGCCUUGGGUCUUGGCCUCCAUCGGAUGAACGAUUUCCCGUCGAAGCCAGCUGUACGGGGAGGCUAACGGCAGCGCACCAGCUCUGCAGCGAAGGCGGGGAGGAGCCUCGAAGCCGGAGAGGAGAGCGCUGUGCCCUUUCCCGGUGCCUAUCAGUGCACGCCACACACCGGCGUCUGUUCCAGCUUGCCCAGAAGUCUGCUAGGCUGCAGCAAGUCAGCACUCGCGCGUGGCUGAUAGGGCAGGCUGGUUUCCAAGGAGAGAUGUCACACCACAAAAUCUCCCCCUGUGUCCUGCCACACUUGGUACUGAUUUGACUGUCUCUGUGGAGAAGGCAAGGAUCAAAUGCUCCAUGGCGCCAGACUGCUUGCUUUCGCAGCCUGCAGGUAA